This 650-nucleotide long non-coding RNA is filed under the name Androctonus crassicauda. Lineage: Eukaryota; Metazoa; Arthropoda; Arachnida; Scorpiones; Buthidae. The record is from RNAcentral.
GGCCGGAUGUUAGUCGGCCACGGUUGUACUUCCGUCUCCUUAAGAAUAUUAUGGUUGUACUUCCGACUCCUUAAGAAUAUUAUGGUUGUACUUCCGUCUCCUUAAGAAUAUUAUGGUUGUACUUCCGUUUCCUUAAGAAUGUUUCGUCGACCUGAGGUUGGGAAGAAAAUGCGUAAAAAUAUACGAAUUAAUUAAAAUAGGAUAAAAGUAAGUACAAACCUCUACAUGGGGCCCUGGACAUCCAAUUUGUAGAGGCAUAUGGGAGACGGCAAUCUCUGCUACUUCACGGCAGUACGAGUAAAUAUCUACCGCAGUGUUCUGACCGACGCGGGCGUGAUCUUUUGCCAUCGUCACAUCCAGGCCCACCACCUAAUAAAACAACAAGGUUAAAACCUGUAGAAAAAAUGAGGUAGAUUAGAAAAGAAUCAUCACAUGAGGAAUCGAGCAAACGGAGAAGGAAUACAUACGAAUACACACCUUGUAAAUUGGGAGAUGGACGCGUUCAAACCAGAUGUUAUCAGUUGGCUGGACGAUGCCAGAACACAGACGGUUCCUUGUAGAUUUGCGAAAUUUUCGGCGUUUGGUGACCAUACGCCGAAAGUUUUCGCAGCGGUAGACAAACCCGAAUUUCGUGCGAGCGUCCCUCUCAA